CCUACGGGUGGCUGCAGUGGGGAAUAUUGGGCAAUGGGCGCAAGCCUGACCCAGCAACGCCGCGUGAAGGAAGAAGGCUUUCGGGUUGUAAACUUCUUUUCUGAGGGACGAAGAAAGUGACGGUACCUCAGGAAUAAGCCACGGCUAACUACGUGCCAGCAGCCGCGGUAAUACGUAGGUGGCAAGCGUUAUCCGGAUUUAUUGGGUGUAAAGGGCGUGUAGCCGGGAAGACAAGUCAGAUGUGAAAUCCCGCGGCUCAACCGCGGAACUGCAUUUGAAACUGUUUUUCUUGAGUAUCGGAGAGGUAAUCGGAAUUCCUAGUGUAGCGGUGAAAUGCGUAGAUAUUAGGAAGAACACCAGUGGCGAAGGCGGAUUACUGGACGACAACUGACGGUGAGGCGCGAAAGCGUGGGGAGCAAACAGGAUUAGAUACCCUGGUAGUC
This 443-nucleotide ribosomal RNA is filed under the name uncultured bacterium. Its description in RNAcentral is "partial 16S ribosomal RNA". It matches the Rfam family "Bacterial small subunit ribosomal RNA", at positions 338 to 795 of the family's 1533-position model. The record is from RNAcentral.